GGUUCUUUUUCUCCGCCAAUGGUGAUAGAUUUGGCACCAAAAAAAGAAGAGAAGAAACAUGACAGUCAUUGUUUCCACAGUGGAAAGCCCAGAGUCUUCCCUGGAGAAGAGUGCUGAUGACGAGGAUUCAUGUCUCACAACCCAGCACACAGGAAUGAUGUCACACAGGGUUCAAAUUCUAUCUUCAGCAUAGUGAGCCCAAACAAAACCAAUUCCUUUCAUGCCCUCUACUGGAUAUUUGAAGUUAAACGUCAAUAACACUGCAAAGUAACCAAAAUAAUGAUACACAUAA
Molecule: long non-coding RNA, 292 nt
Filed under: Homo sapiens (human)
Lineage: Eukaryota; Metazoa; Chordata; Mammalia; Primates; Hominidae
Description: HSALNT0211758
Source: RNAcentral